Molecule: microRNA precursor, 59 nt
Filed under: Podarcis lilfordi (Lilford's wall lizard)
Lineage: Eukaryota; Metazoa; Chordata; Lepidosauria; Squamata; Lacertidae
Source: RNAcentral
AAACACACACACACACAUAUAUAUACUGUGUAUGUAUAUAUAUGUGUGUGUGUGUGUGU